UACGUAGGGUGCGAGCGUUGUCCGGAAUUAUUGGGCGUAAAGAGCUUGUAGGCGGUUUGUCGCGUCUGCUGUGAAAAUCCGGGGCUCAACCCCGGACUUGCAGUGGGUACGGGCAGACUAGAGUGUGGUAGGGGAGACUGGAAUUCCUGGUGUAGCGGUGAAAUGCGCAGAUAUCAGGAGGAACACCGAUGGCGAAGGCAGGUUUCUGGGCCACUACUGACGCUGAGAAGCGAAAGCAUGGGGGAGCGAACAGG
This 254-nucleotide ribosomal RNA is filed under the name uncultured bacterium. Its description in RNAcentral is "partial 16S ribosomal RNA". It matches the Rfam family "Bacterial small subunit ribosomal RNA", at positions 524 to 776 of the family's 1533-position model. The record is from RNAcentral.